RNAcentral lists this transfer RNA (69 nucleotides) under Podarcis lilfordi (Lilford's wall lizard). RNAcentral's name for it is "tRNA.Lys". Lineage: Eukaryota; Metazoa; Chordata; Lepidosauria; Squamata; Lacertidae. The record is from RNAcentral.
GGCUAGCUCAGUUCGUAGAGCAUGAGACACUUCAUCUCAGGGUUGUGAGUUCGAGCCCCACAUUAUGCA